AUUGAACGCUGGCGGCAUGCCUUACACAUGCAAGUCGAACGGUAACAGGUUAAGCUGACGAGUGGCGAACGGGUGAGUAAUAUAUCGGAACGUGCCCAGUCGUGGGGGUUAACGUAGCGAAAGCUACGCUAAUACCGCAUACGAACUACGGAUGAAAGCGGGGGAUCUCAAGACCUCGCGCGCUUGGAGCGGCCGAUAUCAGAUUCGGUGGUUGGUGAGGUAAAAGCGCACCAAGCCUGCCAUCUGUAGCUGGUCUGAGAGGACGACCAGCCACACUGGAACUGAGACACGGUCCAGACUCCUACGGGAGGCAGCAGUGGGGAAUUUUGGACAAUGGACGCAAGUCUGAUCCAGCAAUGCCGCGUGCAGGACGAGGGCCUUCGGGUUGUAAACUGCUUUUGUACGGAACGAAACGGUGAGCUCUAAUACAGUUUGCUAAUGACGGUACCGUAAGAAUAAGCACCGGCUAACUACGUGCCAGCCGCCGCCGUAA
RNAcentral lists this ribosomal RNA (493 nucleotides) under uncultured bacterium. RNAcentral's name for it is "partial 16S ribosomal RNA". It matches the Rfam family "Bacterial small subunit ribosomal RNA", at positions 30 to 523 of the family's 1533-position model. The record is from RNAcentral.